AAGGCCUCGAGGAGGGGCUGGGAGUGUAGCUCAGUUGGUCCAGGGCUGGCUUAGCAUGCUCAGAUCUCCGGAUUCCAUCUCCAGGGAACAGCACUGAGGGAUGAAGACCUAUUCCCUGUGGGACAAAGGACAGCCCUGCUUACUACAUGGGACAAAAAGCAUGGAUCCUUAAGCUCAGAAAUCUUGAACUGUAACACAAACCCACUGGGGGUUCAGCACGUCCCUCUUGUGCUCCAACCACACACAUCAUGACAGACUGAAGGCAGAAGCGGGGAGAACUCAGCUGUCUUCUAAUCCAGGCAUUAAAGAGAUUCACAAGUCUGUCAGGCGAUGCUGCUCUCCUUGCUCUGUGCUUUUGGAAA
Long non-coding RNA from Peromyscus eremicus (cactus mouse), 362 nucleotides. RefSeq lists it as uncharacterized. The record is from RefSeq and is a predicted model, not a curated record. The transcript is spliced from 3 exons. NCBI's taxonomy places the organism in Eukaryota, Metazoa, Chordata, Mammalia, Rodentia, Cricetidae.